ACGUAGGAGGCAAACGUUAUCCGGAUUUACUGGGCGUAAAGCGCGUGUAGGUGGUUCUGUAAGUAGGGCGUGAAAGCUCCUGGCUCAACUGGGAGAGGCCGUUCUAAACUGCAGAGCUAGAGGAUGGUAGAGGGAGGUGGAAUUCCGGGUCUCGCGGUGGCAGGCGCACAUAUCCGGAGGAACACCCGCGGCGAAAGCAGCCUCCUGGACCAGUCCUGACACUCAGACGCGAAAGCUAGGUUAGCAAACGG
RNAcentral lists this ribosomal RNA (251 nucleotides) under uncultured prokaryote. RNAcentral's name for it is "partial 16S rRNA". It matches the Rfam family "Bacterial small subunit ribosomal RNA", at positions 525 to 775 of the family's 1533-position model. The record is from RNAcentral.